GACAGCAGCAGCCGCGGUAAUACGAAGGGUGCAAGCGUUAAUCGGAAUUACUGGGCGUAAAGCGCGCGUAGGUGGUUUGGUAAGAUGGAUGUGAAAUCCCCGGGCUCAACCUGGGAACUGCAUCCAUAACUGCCUGACUAGAGUACGGUAGAGGGUGGUGGAAUUUCCUGUGUAGCGGUGAAAUGCGUAGAUAUAGGAAGGAACACCAGUGGCGAAGGCGACCACCUGGACUGAUACUGACACUGAGGUGCGAAAGCGUGGGGAGCAAACAGGAUUAGAUACCCCCGUAGUCCCUGUCUCUUAUAC
This 306-nucleotide ribosomal RNA is filed under the name uncultured bacterium. Its description in RNAcentral is "partial 16S ribosomal RNA". It matches the Rfam family "Bacterial small subunit ribosomal RNA", at positions 507 to 807 of the family's 1533-position model. The record is from RNAcentral.